Molecule: ribosomal RNA, 445 nt
Filed under: uncultured bacterium
Lineage: Bacteria
Description: bacterial SSU rRNA
Rfam family: Bacterial small subunit ribosomal RNA
Source: RNAcentral
GCCAGACUCCUACGGGAGGCAGCAGUGGGGAAUAUUGCACAAUGGGGGAAACCCUGAUGCAGCGACGCCGCGUGGGUGAAGGAGUACCUCGGUGCGUAAAGCCCUAUCGGCAGGGAAGAAACAGACGGUACCUGACUAAGAAGCCCCGGCUAACUACGUGCCAGCAGCCGCGGUAAUACGUAGGGGGCAAGCGUUAUCCGGAUUCACUGGGUGUAAAGGGAGCGUAGACGGCGACGCAAGUCUGGAGUGAAAGCCCGGGGCCCAACCCCGGGACUGCUCUGGAAACUGCGUCGCUGGAGUACGGGAGGGGCAGGCGGAAUUCCUGGUGUAGCGGUGAAAUGCGUAGAUAUCAGGAGGAACACCGGCGGCGAAGGCGGCCUGCUGGACCGUGACUGACGUUGAGGCUCGAGAGCGUGGGGAGCAAACAGGAUUAGAUACCCUCGUA